UUUAUAGAGAGUUUGAUCCUGGCUCAGGAUGAACGCUGGCGGCGUGCCUAAUACAUGCAAGUCGAGCGAACGGAUGAGAAGCUUGCUUCUCUGAUGUUAGCGGCGGACGGGUGAGUAACACGUGGAUAACCUACCUAUAAGACUGGGAUAACUUCGGGAAACCGGAGCUAAUACCGGAUAAUAUUUUGA
RNAcentral lists this ribosomal RNA (189 nucleotides) under Staphylococcus aureus. Its description in RNAcentral is "partial 16S ribosomal RNA". It matches the Rfam family "Bacterial small subunit ribosomal RNA", at positions 1 to 184 of the family's 1533-position model. Lineage: Bacteria; Bacillati; Bacillota; Bacilli; Caryophanales; Staphylococcaceae. The record is from RNAcentral.